This 510-nucleotide ribosomal RNA is filed under the name uncultured bacterium. Its description in RNAcentral is "partial 16S ribosomal RNA". It matches the Rfam family "Bacterial small subunit ribosomal RNA", at positions 28 to 507 of the family's 1533-position model. The record is from RNAcentral.
GACGAACGCUGGCGGCGUGCUUAACACAUGCAAGUCGAACGAAGAGCGAUGGAAGCUUGCUUCUAUCAAUCUUAGUGGCGAACGGGUGAGUAACGCGUAAUCAACCUGCCCUUCAGAGGGGGACAACAGUUGGAAACGACUGCUAAUACCGCAUACGAUCUGACCUCGGCAUCGAGGAUAGAUGAAAGGUGGCCUCUAUUUAUAAGCUAUCACUGAAGGAGGGGAUUGCGUCUGAUUAGCUAGUUGGAGGGGUAACGGCCCACCAAGGCGAUGAUCAGUAGCCGGUCUGAGAGGAUGAACGGCCACAUUGGGACUGAGACACGGCCCAGACUCCUACGGGAGGCAGCAGUGGGGAAUCUUCCGCAAUAGACGAAAGUCUGACGGAGCAACGCCGCGUGAGUGAUGACGGCCUUCGGGUUGUAAAGCUCUGUUAAUCGGGACGAAAGGCCUUCUUGCGAAUAGUUAGAAGGAUUGACGGUACCGGAAUAGAAAGCCACGGCUAACUACGUG